GUGGGGAAUUUUGGACAAUGGGCGAAAGCCUGAUCCAGCAAUGCCGCGUGUGUGAAGAAGGCCUUCGGGUUGUAAAGCACUUUUGGCGGGGAAGAAACAGUGCGUGCUAAUACCAUGCGCGUAUGACGGUACCUGCAGAAUAAGCACCGGCUAACUACGUGCCAGCAGCCGCGGUAAUACGUAGGGUGCAAGCGUUAAUCGGAAUUACUGGGCGUAAAGCGUGCGCAGGCGGCUUUGUAAGACGGAUGUGAAAGCCCCGGGCUCAACCUGGGAAGUGCAUUCGUGACUGCAAGGCUAGAGUGUGUCAGAGGGAGGUGGAAUUCCACGUGUAGCAGUGAAAUGCGUAGAGAUGCGGAGGAACACCGAUGGCGAAGGCAGCCUCCUGGGAUAACACUGACGCUCAGGCACGAAAGCGUGGGGAGCAAACAGGAUUAGAGACCCGUGUAGUCC
This 450-nucleotide ribosomal RNA is filed under the name uncultured bacterium. Its description in RNAcentral is "partial 16S ribosomal RNA". It matches the Rfam family "Bacterial small subunit ribosomal RNA", at positions 354 to 796 of the family's 1533-position model. The record is from RNAcentral.